GGACUACACGGGAAUCUAAUCCUGUUUGCUCCCCUAGCUUUCGUCCCUCAGCGUCAGUUGUGAUCCAGCAAGCCGCCUUCGCCUCGGAUGUUCCUGCGGAUAUCUACGCAUUUCACCGCUACACCCGCAAUUCCACUUGCCUCUCUCACACUCUAGCAUGGCAGUUUCGGAAGCAGCCUCUGGGUUUAGCCCAGAGAUUUCACUCCCGACUUGCCACACCGCCUACGGACCCUUUACGCCCAGUAAUUCCGAGCAACGCUGGCCCCCUACGUAUUACCGCGGCGGCUGGCA
Molecule: ribosomal RNA, 291 nt
Filed under: uncultured Acidobacteriota bacterium
Lineage: Bacteria; Pseudomonadati; Acidobacteriota
Description: uncultured Acidobacteria bacterium partial 16S ribosomal RNA
Source: RNAcentral